UUUUCAUAAACAUCUUGAAGGGGGGCAUAGGUUGAAGUGUGUGUUCGUCGUGCAGCGUGUUGGUUCGUGCGGCGCAUUGUCCGUCGUGGUGUGACACGGCGCCUCCGGCGCGAGGGAACCUCCUGCUCGCCUUCGGCUCGUUUAAUUUUCAUAAACAUCUUGAAGGGGGGCAUAGGUCGAAGUUUGUGUUUGUCGUGCAGCGUGUUGGUUCGUGCGGCGCGUUGUCCGUUGUGGUGUGACACGGCGCCUCCGGCGCGAGGGAACCUCCUGCUCACCUUCGGCUUGUUUAAUUUUCAUAAACAUCUAGAAGGGGGCAUAGGUCAAAGUUUGUGUUUGUCAUGCAGCGUGCUGGUUUGUGCCGCACAUUGUCCGUCAUGGUGUGACACGGCGCCUUCGGUGCAAGGGAACCUCCUGCUCGCCUUCGACUCAUUUAAUUUUCAUAAACAUUUUGAAGGGGGGGCAUAGGUUGAAGUGUGUGUUGGUCGAACUGUUAGGGAAUGUAGUAAUUUCAAAAAAAUUCCUACGCACACGCAAGAUCAUGGUGAUGCAUAGCAACGAGAGGGGAGAGUGUUGUCCACGUACCCUCGUAGACCGUAAGCGGAAGUGUUAUGACAACGCGGUUGAUGUAAUCGUACGUCUUCAUGGUCGACCGAUCCUAGUAUCGAACGUACGACACCUCCGCGAUCUGCACACAUUCGGCUCAGUGACGUCCCACAAACUCACGACCCAGUAGAGCUUCGAGGGAGAGCUUCGUCAGCACGACGGUGUGAUGACGAUGAUGAUGAAGCUACCGGCAUAGGGCUUCGCCUAAGCACUGCAACGAUAUAACCGAGGUGGAAUAUGGUGGAGGGGGCACCGCACACGGCUUGGAACAAUCAACUUGUAUGUUCUAGGGUGCCCCCCUGCCCCCGUAUAUAAAGGAGCAAAGGGGGAGGCCGGCCGGCCCUUGGUGCGCCCAAGGAGAGGAGGAAUCCUCCUCCUAGUAGGAGUAGGAUUCAUCAUUUCCUAGUCCUACUAGGAAGGAGGAAGGGGGAGGGAAGGAGAGGGACAGGGAGAGGGAAAGAGGGGUCGCGCCCCUUCCCCUAGUCCUAUUCGGACUCCCCUUGGGGGGGGGGGCGCCACCUCCUAGGCUGCUGCCCUCUCUUUCCCCUAAGGCCCACUAAGGCCCAAUACUUCCCCGGGGGGUCCGGUAACCCCUUCGGCACUCCGGUUUUCUCCGAAAUCACCCCGAACACUUCCGGUGUCCAAAUAUAGCCAUCCAAUAUAUCGAUCUUUAUGUCUCGACCAUUUAGAGACUCCUCGUCAUGUCUGUGAUCAUAUCCAGGACUCUGAACUACCUUCGGUACAUCAAAUCACAUAAACUCAUAAUACCGAUCAUCACCGAACGUUAAGCGUGCGGACCCUACGGGUUUGAGAACUAUGUAGACAUGACCAAGACCCAUAUUUGGUCAAUAACCAAUAGCGGAACCUGGAUGCUCAUAUUGGUUCCUACAUGUUCUACGAAGAUCUUUAUCGGUCAAACCUCAUAACAACAUACGUUGUUCCCUUUGUCAUCGGUAUGUUACUUGCCCGAGAUUCGAUCGUCGCUAUCUCAAUACCUAGUUCAAUCUCGUUACAAGCAAGUCUCAUUGCUUGCAAGGCUUAUAGUGAUGUGUAUUACUGAGAGGGCCCAGGGAUACCUCUCCGAUACACGGAGUGACAAAUCCUAAUCUCGAUCUAUGCCAACUCAACAAACACCAUCGGAGACACCUGUAGAGAAUCUUUAUAAUCACCCAGUUACGAUGUGACGUUGGAUAGCACACAAAGUGUUCCUCCGGUAUUUGGGAGUUGCAUAAUUUCAUAGUCAUAGGAACAUGUAUAAGUCAUGAAGAAAGCAAUAGCAACAUACUAAAUGAUCAAGUGCUAAGCUAACGGAAUGGGUCUAGUCAAUCACAUCAUUCUCUAAUGAUGUGAUCCCGUUAAUCAAAUGACAACUCAUGUCUAUGGCUAGGAAACUUAACCAUCUUUGAUUCAACGAGCUAGUCAAGUAGAGGCAUACUCGUGACACUCUGUUUGUCUAUGUAUUCACACAUGUACUAAGUUUUCGGUUAAUACAAUUCUAGCAUGAAUACAUUUAUCAUGAAAUAAGGAAAUAAAUAAUAACUUUAUUAUUGCCUCUAGGGAAUAUUUCCUUCACGUACAACAUGAUGGUUCGUGCGGCGCGUUGUCCGUCGUGGUGUGACACGGCGCCUCCGGCGCGAGGGAACCUCUUGCUCGCCUUUGGCUCGUUUAAUUUUCAUAAACAUCUUGAAUGGGGGACAUAGGUCGAAGUGUGUGUUUGUCGUGCAACGUGUUGGUUCGUGCGGCGCGUUGUCUGUUGUGGUGUGACAUGGCGCCUCCGGCGCGAGGGAACCUCAUGCUCGCCUUCGGCUCGUUUAAUUUUCAUAAACAUCUUGAAGGGGGGCAUAGGUCGAAGUGUGUGUUUGUCGUGCAGCG
This 2475-nucleotide long non-coding RNA is filed under the name Triticum aestivum (bread wheat). RNAcentral describes it as "long non-coding RNA (TAES_LNC027433)". Lineage: Eukaryota; Viridiplantae; Streptophyta; Magnoliopsida; Poales; Poaceae. The record is from RNAcentral.